AGGCGGAUAGCUCAGUGGUAGAGCAUCCCGAUUACUCCGGGAGGGGCGCAGCGUUCGAUUCCUGCUCCGCCUACCA
RNAcentral lists this transfer RNA (76 nucleotides) under Acidobacteriota bacterium. Its description in RNAcentral is "Acidobacteria bacterium (groundwater metagenome) tRNA-Val". It matches the Rfam family "tRNA". Rfam says of the family: Transfer RNA (tRNA) molecules are approximately 80 nucleotides in length. Their secondary structure includes four short double-helical elements and three loops (D, anti-codon, and T loops). Lineage: Bacteria; Pseudomonadati; Acidobacteriota. The record is from RNAcentral.